Molecule: ribosomal RNA, 459 nt
Filed under: uncultured bacterium
Lineage: Bacteria
Description: SSU rRNA
Rfam family: Bacterial small subunit ribosomal RNA
Source: RNAcentral
AGAAUCAACGCUGGCGGCGUGCCUAACACAUGCAAGUCGCACGAGAAAGGGACUUCGGUCCUGAGUAAAGUGGCGCACGGGUGAGUAACACGUGAAUCAUCUACCUUCGAGUGGGGAAUAACUGAGAGAAAUCUUAGCUAAUACCGCAUAAUACCCACGGGUCAAAGCAGCAAUGCGCUUGAAGAGGAGUUCGCGGCAGAUUAGUUAGUUGGCGGGGUAAUGGCCCACCAAGACGAUGAUCUGUAUCCGGCCUGAGAGGGCGCACGGACACACUGGAACUGAAACACGGUCCAGACUCCUACGGGAGGCAGCAGUGGGGAAUUUUGCGCAAUGGGGGAAACCCUGACGCAGCAACGCCGCGUGGAGGAUGAAAUCCCUUGGGAUGUAAACUCCUUUCGAUAGGGAAGAUAAUGACGGUACCUAUAGAAGAAGCCCGGCUAACUUCGUGCCAGCAGCCGC